This 2928-nucleotide unclassified non-coding RNA is filed under the name Penaeus monodon (black tiger shrimp). Its description in RNAcentral is "reticulocalbin-2-like, transcript variant X3". The record is from RNAcentral. Lineage: Eukaryota; Metazoa; Arthropoda; Malacostraca; Decapoda; Penaeidae.
UUCGGCAUUUACCAGUAGCAGAUGUUGUUGAUGGUGGCGUUGGAUGGCAGCUGGUCGCGACGUCUCCCAUUCUACUCUUUAGACACUUGUGAAGGACACGUCACUGGUCACUACGUGGAGUCAAGUCAAAGGGCAGAGGGAAGAGGGGAGGAAGAGGACAGAGAGAGCAGAGGAGCUGAAGGCAGACGGAAGGGAGAUAAGGCAUAAAAAUGAAUCAUUGGAGCUUAUCCCUGGGGUUGGUAUUGGGUGUGCUGGUGCUAAGAGAAGCCACUGCCCACACGCACCACCUUCACAAUGCCCAGAAAGAGCGAGAGGCAGAUGGUGCCAGGACCCCACGAGACCACGGCCAUUACACCAAUGGCGAACACAAUGCUGAUUUUGACCAUGAAGCAAUUCUAGGGAGUGUCAAGGAUGCAGAAGAGUAUGAUCAACUCCCAGCUAUGGAGGCGAAAAGACGUCUGGAGAUCCUGCUUGUGAAAAUGGACCGCGACAAUGACAAACAUAUUGAUCGUAAGGAGCUCCAUUCUUGGAUUCUCCGCUCUUUCAGAAUGCUGUCAGAGGAAGAGAGUUCUGAGCGCAUGGAUGAGGUGGAUGAAGAUGAAGAUGGGUAUGUCACCUGGGCUGAGUACAUUGCCGAGACCUAUGGCAUCAAGGAGCCUGAGGACCAGCAGCUCUUAGACCAGGAGGACCAAGUUGAAGAACAGAGGCUCUUGCGUGAGGACCGACAGUUAUUCAAUGCUGCAGACAAGAACAUAGAUGGAAGACUGGAUGAUAUGGAAUUCCUAGCCUUCUCGCAUCCUGAGGAGAGCCCCGACAUGCUUCCUAUUAUCCUGCAGCAGACGCUAGAGGAGAAGGAUGCCAACAAUGAUGGUCUCAUCGACUUCCAGGAAUACAUUGGGGAUAAAGAGUUCGAAGUCGAUGAAGAUAUAAUGAUGAAUCGUGAAUUUGUGCGCAAGCAUAAGCCAGAUUUUGAUAAGUUGGACUUAAAUAAGUCUGGUUUCCUUGAGGUUGAUGAGGUUGGGCCUUUAAUGGAAUCAAACAAGGACAUAGCAGAGGAUGAGGUGGAUCAUCUGUUUGCUGCAGCAGAUGAUGACAAUGAUGACUUGCUGUCCUUCUUGGAAAUCCUUGAUCACCAUGAUGUGUUUGUAGGCUCGGAAGCUACAGACUACGGUGAUCACCUGCACAACCUUGACCGCUUUGACGACGAAUUGUGAGGCUGUGAUGGGCAUCUCGCAGAUAGAUAGGCCUAGUUGUGAGAAAUAAGAGUCGAGAGUAGUUCUGCAUGAUGUUGGUCAGCGUCAAUGGGAACUGCAUGGAAGCUCUGCAAGAAUGAAGUGCUCAUGUGCUGAUACAGAGGUUCCUUGUGAGAAUAGAGUGUGCCACUUCCCCUUUUGUUGUUCGUGUUGUUAUUUUAUCAUGAAUUUUUCUGUGAAUUUUAGUUAUGUAGUCCAGGAAGAAAACCUGUUAGUAAUUUAUAGUGCCUGUAUAUGCAUUUAUCAUUUGUUUGGGCAUUAGAAAAGGAAGUGUGAAUGUAUUAGUUACAAAUCUUGCUGUAAAAGCCACCUUGCAAGGUCCAUUGUGUGUUAAUUGAAAACAAUAUGCCUUUCUCAACUCUUUGAUUAAUCUUUGUCUUAUGAUAUUAUAUUGAAUAAUUGUUUUUAAUUUAUUGAUUAGGAUAUUGUCUUUUAUGUAUCAAUUUGGAAAAAAUAAUAAUUCUAACGUGAUCAAGUCUAAUUACAAAAGGUAAACGCAUUAGCCUGUGCAAUGAAAGCCACUCAAGACUUUUUUUUUUUUUUUAUAUAUAUAUAUAUCAACAAGCAGCUACAUUACUAUAGGAGAGUUUGAGGGUAACCAGGUUAGCUUAAAAAUAGUGUUGUUGUAACAUUUAUGCUUUUGAAAUUUAACACAGCGAUGUAGUCUAAUUUGAGUCCAGUGGAUGUUUAUGCAGCAAGCCCUACUACUAUAGGGUUUUAUGAUCAGGACAGUUCAGGCUAAUCAAUUCAGGUUUCCAAAAAGGCUUCCAGGGUGACAUCCUUCAAGAAAUCAUGAGUCUUCUCAAGUGUCAUUCACUGCUACUUGGCUUCUUAAAACUUUCUGUUGUAUAGAUAACAACCUCUGGCCCAUUCAUCAACACGCACAGCUGGAACAUUCAACUUGGGCCAUCUGUUAUGUGUCCAGUUGCAAAAAGGAAUUUCAGCUAUUGAAUCUUUUCAAUGCAUAUUUAGGCACACUGUUCACAUCUUGACUUAGGCAACGAUACAAUAGCUGUGUAGAUUUGACACGACUACCAGUAAUUAUUUUGCACUUUCACUGCCGAUUCUUUUUGUACUUUUUUUCUCUAAUUUGACUUCUCUUUGAGACCUCACUCGUGCAUUUUCUAACUUCACUUUUGCACCUUGAAUUUGCAUUUGUGAGUGCCUGCAUUCUUGUGUUGUGCUUACUCCUAAUAAUUUUUUUUCUUUUAAUUUUGGUAAUGAUGAGUAAUGACUGUGAAAAGUAUUGUUUUAAAAUCAAAACAGAAGUUAUUUUUUUAAAACUAAUAACUCUUUUGUAAAUUAAGUUUAACAGAUUGCUUUGGAUAGAAUACUGAGUAAUUAAACAAAUGCCAUUAACAUGAAACUUACUUUGCAUAGCAGGGUAAAAUGAAUUCUAGCAAGGGUCAGUACAAUUCUGUUUUGAAUUUGUCAGAUGAUAAAGAAUAUGUUUAAGCAGAUUUAUAGUUCUACAACAAUUGCAUAGAUAAAAUAUGAUAAAUUUAACUUAAAUACAUGAAUGUUUUAACAUUUCCCAAGUCUGAAAAGCAGAAAGAAAUGUGAACUGAAAACUAGCCAAGAACUUUGUACACAAUGCUUUUAUUUCUAUUUUUUUGUAUCCAAGUGCCAUAUGUCCAGCUGGGGCACUGGGCUUAAUAUAUUGUUUUGAUUUUUU